RNAcentral lists this ribosomal RNA (777 nucleotides) under uncultured Neocallimastigales. Its description in RNAcentral is "partial large subunit ribosomal RNA". It matches the Rfam family "Eukaryotic large subunit ribosomal RNA", at positions 19 to 616 of the family's 3401-position model. The record is from RNAcentral. Lineage: Eukaryota; Fungi; Neocallimastigomycota; Neocallimastigomycetes; Neocallimastigales.
CGAGCACGCGCGUGUGGCAUAUCAAUAAGCGGAGGAAAAGAAACUAACUAGGAUUCCCUUAGUAACGGCGAGUGAAGCGGGAAGAGCUCAAAUUUGAAAUCUUCAAGGUUCUACCUUGACGAAUUGUAGUUUAUAAGAAGUGUUUUCUGUUAGUAGAGUUGGCUAAAAGUUCUUUGGAAUAGGACAUCAUAGAGGGUGAGAAUCCCGUAUUUGAUCAUUCUUUCUAGCUGUGUGAUACACUUUCAACGAGUCGGAUUGUUUGGGAAUGCAGUCCAAAAUGGGUGGUAAAUUUCAUCUAAAGCUAAAUAUUGGCGAGAGACCGAUAGCGAACAAGUACCGUGAGGGAAAGAUGAAAAGAACUUUGAAAAGAGAGUUAAACAGUACGUGAAACUGUCAAAAGGGAAGCGUUUGACACCAGUGUUGUUUUUCCGAAAAUCAAUUACGAAUGUUUUAUUUUUGAGAAGUUAUGACUUCAUCGGCUUGCUUCUCUCUUUAUGAAACUUUCUUAAUGCACUUUUCGGUUAACAAGUCAACAUCAAUUUCUUUUGUUGUAAAAGGGUAUGAGGAAGGUGGCUUUCUUUUCGGAGAAAGUGUUUAUAGCCUUGUGCCUCUGCAAUCGGAGAGAUUGAGGUCUGCAGCGUAGAUCCUUCGGGGUUAGAUACGUUUGUGCUAAGUUAUAGCUUUUCAUAGACAACUUGUUGACUAUGUUUAGUCUUGUAGCUUACUCGCUGACGCUAUUUUACCUACGCUUAGGAUGUUGAGCGCAUGUCUCUCUCU